UGGGGAAUAUUGCACAAUGGGCGAAAGCCUGAUGCAGCGACGCCGCGUGAGGGAUGACGGCCUUCGGGUUGUAAACCUCUUUCAGCAGGGACGAAGCGAGAGUGACGGUACCUGCAGAAGAAGCACCGGCCAACUACGUGCCAGCAGCCGCGGUAAUACGUAGGGUGCGAGCGUUGUCCGGAAUUACUGGGCGUAAAGAGCUCGUAGGCGGUUUGUCGCGUCGUCUGUGAAAACCAGCAGCUCAACUGCUGGCUUGCAGGCGAUACGGGCAGACUUGAGUACUGCAGGGGAGACUGGAAUUCCUGGUGUAGCGGUGAAAUGCGCAGAUAUCAGGAGGAACACCGGUGGCGAAGGCGGGUCUCUGGGCAGUAACUGACGCUGAGGAGCGAAAGCGUGGGUAGCGAACA
Molecule: ribosomal RNA, 407 nt
Filed under: uncultured Rhodococcus sp.
Lineage: Bacteria; Bacillati; Actinomycetota; Actinomycetes; Mycobacteriales; Nocardiaceae
Description: bacterial SSU rRNA
Rfam family: Bacterial small subunit ribosomal RNA
Source: RNAcentral